AAGUCGUAACAAGGUUUCCGUAGGUGAACCUGCGGAAGGAUCAUUACCAAUGGAGCAUCAUCUCUGUGUGUAUGCUACCAUCAUCGCUACUUUUGUGCAUUUGCAGUCCUUUGUGGUGUGCUGCCCGUCCGUGUUCCUGCUGCUGCUGCUACUGCUGUAGCUGCGCUCAGGGAACGGUGGUCGGCCUCCACAACGUAAUAAUAACACUUUUGGUCGGCUAUAUGCUGUCUGUGGGUUAUUGUGAUGAUGCUAGCUCGUCUAGUGGAAACACAUUUCUGGGAUGAAAAUAACUUUUGGCAAUGGAUCUCUAGGCUCUC
Molecule: unclassified non-coding RNA, 317 nt
Filed under: fungal sp.
Lineage: Eukaryota; Fungi
Description: partial internal transcribed spacer region
Rfam family: Eukaryotic small subunit ribosomal RNA (bases 1-46)
Source: RNAcentral